CACCACAGGGUGAUGACAUCACUUCAACUCUCCUUGUUAAAACUUUGCAAUUCAUUUCUGCUCCAUGAUCAUUUACCAAUACAUGCUCAAUGUAAUCUUGCAGGAUUUGUUGUUCUGACCUGGCUUCUGUGACUUCAACUUUGAAUGUAACAGGAUGUUAGCAGUGUCAGCCUGGAUAGAUAAAAUGGAUCAUCAGAUGCAUUUCAGCUGUCACAUCCUCCAGGGGUCCUUCCUUGAUCCACAGUGGGAAGCCAUCUCUCCUCCAUCUGUGCUUCCCCAGAUUUCAACUGUGCCCCUCACUGCCUAGCAUCUGUGGCAGGUGUGUAGGUUCAUUUCUUCUUUUAAAAGUUUGAGAGCAAAACACAUGCUUUUUGAGUAUCUGUAUCCCUGGUGAAAUGUUUGGCCUGAAUAUAACAUGUUCUCAAUAAAAACUGUGUUGAUUAUGUAAGAUUUGUAGGUUUUGUUGUUGUUGUUGUUGUUUGUUUUACAUUUUUAAUUACCUGCCUUCUUU
This 511-nucleotide long non-coding RNA is filed under the name Marmota monax (woodchuck). The record is from RNAcentral. Lineage: Eukaryota; Metazoa; Chordata; Mammalia; Rodentia; Sciuridae.